Molecule: ribosomal RNA, 464 nt
Filed under: Vreelandella stevensii
Lineage: Bacteria; Pseudomonadati; Pseudomonadota; Gammaproteobacteria; Oceanospirillales; Halomonadaceae
Description: partial 16S ribosomal RNA
Rfam family: Bacterial small subunit ribosomal RNA
Source: RNAcentral
CCUACGGGCGGCAGCAGUGGGGAAUAUUGGACAAUGGGCGAAAGCUUGAUCCAGCCAUGCCGCGUGUGUGAAGAAGGCCUUCGGGUUGUAAAGCACUUUCAGUGGGGAAGAAAGCCUUGGGGCUAAUACCCUCGAGGAAGGACAUCACCCACAGAAGAAGCACCGGCUAACUCCGUGCCAGCAGCCGCGGUAAUACGGAGGUGCGAGCGUUAAUCGGAAUUACUGGGCGUAAAGCGCGCGUAGGCGGUCUGAUAAGCCGGUUGUGAAAGCCCCGGGCUCAACCUGGGAACGGCAUCCGGAACUGUCAGGCUAGAGUGCAGGAGAGGAAGGUAGAAUUCCCGGUGUAGCGGUGAAAUGCGUAGAGAUCGGGAGGAAUACCAGUGGCGAAGGCGGCCUUCUGGACUGACACUGACGCUGAGGUGCGAAAGCGUGGGUAGCAAACAGGAUUAGAUACCCCAGUAGUC